AGUGAACGCUGGCGGUAGGCCUAACACAUGCAAGUCGAACGGCAGCACAGUAAGAGCUUGCUCUUACGGGUGGCGAGUGGCGGACGGGUGAGGCAUACAUCGGAAUCUACUUUUUCGUGGGGGAUAACGUAGGGAAACUUACGCUAAUACCGCAUACGACCUACGGGUGAAAGCAGGGGAUCUUCGGACCUUGCGCGAUUGAAUGAGCCGAUGUCGGAUUAGCUAGUUGGCGGGGUAAAGGCCCACCAAGGCGACGAUCCGUAGCUGGUCUGAGAGGAUGAUCGGCCAAACUGGAACUGAGACACGGUCCAGACUCCUACGGGAGGCAGCAGUAGGGAAUCUUGGACAAUGGGCGAAAGCCUGAUCCAGCCAUACCGCGUGAGUGAAGAAGGCCUUCGGGUUGUAAAGCCCUUUUGUUGGGAAAGAAAAGCAGCAGGUUAAUCCCCCGCUGUUCUGACGGUACCCAAAGAAUAAGCACCGGCUAACUUCGUG
This 492-nucleotide ribosomal RNA is filed under the name uncultured bacterium. RNAcentral's name for it is "partial 16S ribosomal RNA". It matches the Rfam family "Bacterial small subunit ribosomal RNA", at positions 29 to 507 of the family's 1533-position model. The record is from RNAcentral.